This 239-nucleotide ribosomal RNA is filed under the name Nocardioidaceae bacterium. RNAcentral describes it as "partial 23S ribosomal RNA". It matches the Rfam family "Bacterial large subunit ribosomal RNA", at positions 2694 to 2925 of the family's 2925-position model. Lineage: Bacteria; Bacillati; Actinomycetota; Actinomycetes; Propionibacteriales; Nocardioidaceae. The record is from RNAcentral.
GGGAUGGACGGACCUCUGGUGUGCCAGUUGUUCUGCCAAGAGCACGGCUGGUUAGCUACGUUCGGAAGUGAUAACCGCUGAAAGCAUCUAAGCGGGAAGCACGUUUCAAGAUGAGGUUUCCCACAGGGUCAACCUGGUAAGGCCCCCAGCAGAUGACUGGGUUGAUAGGCCGGAGGUAGAAGGCAGCGAUGCACGGAGCCGACCGGUACUAAUAGGCCGAGGGCUUGUCCCACACACAA